GGCCUUGUAGCUCAGCCGGUAAAACAUACGGUGUACAAUAAGUGUAGGCAGUGGCCAUACGUGGGUUCGAAUCCCACCGAGGCUA
Molecule: transfer RNA, 85 nt
Filed under: Echinostoma caproni
Lineage: Eukaryota; Metazoa; Platyhelminthes; Trematoda; Plagiorchiida; Echinostomatidae
Rfam family: tRNA
About the family: Transfer RNA (tRNA) molecules are approximately 80 nucleotides in length.
Source: Rfam by way of RNAcentral